Myotis davidii is the source of this 79-nucleotide non-coding RNA. Lineage: Eukaryota; Metazoa; Chordata; Mammalia; Chiroptera; Vespertilionidae. The record is from Rfam.
AGCUUCACACAGCGGCAGCAUCGUAGCCAAUGAGGUUUAUCCAAGGUGCGAUUAUUGCUCAUUGAAAAAACCAUCAAUG